RNAcentral lists this ribosomal RNA (508 nucleotides) under uncultured Glomus. Its description in RNAcentral is "SSU rRNA". It matches the Rfam family "Eukaryotic small subunit ribosomal RNA", at positions 569 to 1078 of the family's 1831-position model. Lineage: Eukaryota; Fungi; Glomeromycota; Glomeromycetes; Glomerales; Glomeraceae. The record is from RNAcentral.
AGCAGCCGCGGUAAUUCCAGCUCCAAUAGCGUAUAUUAAAGUUGUUGCAGUUAAAAAGCUCGUAGUUGAAUUUCGGGGUCAGUAGGUUGGUCNUGCCACNGGUACGUACUGGUCUCACUGAUUCCUCCUUCCUGAUGAGCUGUAAUGCCAUUAAUUUGGUGUUGCAGGGAAUCUGGACUGUUACUUUGAAAAAAUUAGAGUGUUUAAAGCAGGCUAACGCUUGAAUACAUUAGCAUGGAAUAAUGAAAUAGGACGUUCGAUCCUAUUUUGUUGGUUUCUAGGAUUGACGUAAUGAUUAAUAGGGAUAGUUGGGGGCAUUAGUAUUCAAUUGUCAGAGGUGAAAUUCUUGGAUUUAUUGAAGACUAACUACUGCGAAAGCAUUUGCCAAGGAUGUUUUCAUUAAUCAAGAACGAAAGUUAGGGGAUCGAAGACGAUCAGAUACCGUCGUAGUCUUAACCAUAAACUAUGCCGACUAGGGAUCGGAUGAUGUUAAUUUUUUAAUGACUCA